GACGAACGCUGGCGGCGUGCUUAACACAUGCAAGUCGAACGGAAAGGCCCUGCUUUUGUGGGUUUCUCGAGUGGCGAGCGGGUGAGUAACACGUGAGUAACCUGCCCUUGACUUUGGGAUAACUUCAGGAAACUGGGGCUCAUACCGGAUAGAAGCUCCUGCUGCAUGUUGGGGGUUGGUAAGUUUCGGCGGUUGGGGAUGGACUCGCGGCUUAUCAGCUUGUUUGUGAGGUAGUUGCUUACCAGGGCUUUGACGGGUAGCCGGCCUGAGAGGGUGGACGGCGACAUUGGGACUGAGAGACGGACCAGACUCCUACGGGAGGCAGCAGUGGGGAAUAUUGCACAAUGGGCGGAAGUCUGAUGCAGCAACGCCGCGUGCGGGAUGACGGCCUUCGGGUUGUAAACCGCUUUCGCCUGUGACGAAGCGUGAGUGACGGUAAUGGGUAAAGAAGCACCGGCUAACUACGUG
RNAcentral lists this ribosomal RNA (468 nucleotides) under uncultured bacterium. RNAcentral describes it as "partial 16S ribosomal RNA". It matches the Rfam family "Bacterial small subunit ribosomal RNA", at positions 28 to 507 of the family's 1533-position model. The record is from RNAcentral.